CUAUAUGGGUUAGUGCAAAAGUAAUUGCGGUUUUUGCCAUUAAUGUUGUGGCAAAAACCACAAUUACUUUUGCACCAACCUAAUAC
Molecule: microRNA precursor, 86 nt
Filed under: Colobus angolensis palliatus
Lineage: Eukaryota; Metazoa; Chordata; Mammalia; Primates; Cercopithecidae
Description: miRNA (ENSCANG00000005971.1)
Source: RNAcentral